UACGAAGGGGGCUAGCGUUGUUCGGAAUUACUGGGCGUAAGGCGCGCGCAGGCGGCUAUCCAAGUCAGUGGUGAAAGCCCGGAGCUCAACUCCGGAACUGCCAUUGAAACUGUUUAGCUUGAGGACGAGAGAGGUGAGUGGAAUUCCCAGUGUAGAGGUGAAAUUCGUAGAUAUUGGGAAGAACACCGGUGGCGAAGGCGGCUCACUGGCCCGAUACUGACGCUGAGGCACGAAAGCGUGGGGAGCAAACAGG
This 253-nucleotide ribosomal RNA is filed under the name uncultured bacterium. RNAcentral's name for it is "partial 16S ribosomal RNA". It matches the Rfam family "Bacterial small subunit ribosomal RNA", at positions 524 to 776 of the family's 1533-position model. The record is from RNAcentral.